Molecule: ribosomal RNA, 671 nt
Filed under: uncultured bacterium
Lineage: Bacteria
Description: SSU rRNA
Rfam family: Bacterial small subunit ribosomal RNA
Source: RNAcentral
UAGUUGGCGGGGUAACGGCCCACCAAGGCGACGAUGGGUAGCCGGCCUGAGAGGGUGUCCGGCCACAUUGGGACUGAGAUACGGCCCAGACUCCUACGGGAGGCAGCAGUAGGGAAUUUUGCGCAAUGGGGGAAACCCUGACGCAGCAACGCCAUGUGUGGGAUGAAGCAUUUCGGUGUGUAAACCACUGUCGGCAGGGAAUAAAGCCCGUGUAUAUCACGGGGGUGAAUGUACCUGCAGAGGAAGCCCCGGCUAACUUCGUGCCAGCAGCCGCGGUAAUACGAGGGGGGCAAGUGUUGUUCGGAAUUACUGGGCGUAAAGGGAGCGUAGGCGGGCUCUUAAGUUGGAUGUUUAAAACCGGGGCCCAACCCCGGCGUGGCAUCCAAAACUGGGAGUCUUGAAUGGGACAGAGGCCAGUGGAAUUGGAGGUGUAGCGGUGGAAUGCGUAGAGAUCUCCAAGAACACCAGUUGCGAAGGCGGCUGGCUGGGUCCACAUUGACGCUGAGGCUCGAAAGCGUGGGGAGCAAACAGGAUUAGAUACCCUGGUAGUCCACGCCGUAAACGAUGAACACUAGGUUUUGAGCUCGUCAACGGCUCAGAGCCGCAGCUAACGCGUUAAGUGUUCCGCCUGGGGAAUACGGUCGCAAGACUGAAACUCAAAGGAAUUGACG